RNAcentral lists this ribosomal RNA (301 nucleotides) under uncultured bacterium. RNAcentral describes it as "partial 16S ribosomal RNA". It matches the Rfam family "Bacterial small subunit ribosomal RNA", at positions 509 to 807 of the family's 1533-position model. The record is from RNAcentral.
CAGUAGCCGCGGUAAUGCGAAGGGGGCUAGCGUUGCUCGGAAUGACUGGGCGUAAAGGGCGCGUAGGCGGUUCGUACAGUUGGAUGUGAAAUUCCUGGGCUUAACCUGGGGGCUGCAUUCAAUACGUGCGGGCUUGAGUGUGGAAGAGGGUUGUGGAAUUCCCAGUGUAGAGGUGAAAUUCGUAGAUAUUGGGAAGAACACCGGUGGCGAAGGCGGCAACCUGGUCCAUAACUGACGCUGAGGCGCGAAAGCGUGGGGAGCAAACAGGAUUAGAUACCCCGGUAGUCCCUGUCUCUUAUAC